This 16-nucleotide ribosomal RNA is filed under the name Cryphodera sp. F SAS-2017. Its description in RNAcentral is "partial 18S ribosomal RNA". Lineage: Eukaryota; Metazoa; Nematoda; Chromadorea; Rhabditida; Heteroderidae. The record is from RNAcentral.
UGAUUUCCACAUUCAC